Molecule: long non-coding RNA, 630 nt
Organism: Magallana angulata
Lineage: Eukaryota; Metazoa; Mollusca; Bivalvia; Ostreida; Ostreidae
Exons: 3
Source: RefSeq, a predicted model, not a curated record
CAUAGCUUACCGUGACGGCGAAAGUGACAGUGAAUCAUCCGACGACGAUUUAUACAGCAGUUCUGCAAGUUCAGACAUUAACGUUAAUAAUUCUUUGGAUUCUUUUUCAUCUGAUACGGAUGAGGAUGAUGAUCCGAACUCCCAGAUCUCCUUAGAGAGACUUUCUCUAGUCAGAUCAGCGAUUCUGAGGGUCCCGGUUUUUUGUCCAGCGAAUUGCAUCCUGUCUCGAUCGCACCGUUCUCAGAAGAAACAGGUCCAAGUCACGAUUUGAUGCCAAUAUUUUGAGCUACUUCUUUCUGAUGGUAUCAGAGGAUUUCUUUGAGAAAGUUCCCAAUGAAACCAACAGGUACGCUGCUCAGAAAUUCGAGAAAAGAGGUCACCGUGACGCGGAUUGGUUUGACACUUCUCCUCAGGAAAUCAAGGCGCAUUUUUGCCUGCACAUCCUUAUGGGCACACACCAGCUUCUAAGUGUAGAUAUGCACUGAUCACAAAACAAGUUCUUAGGAUUUAAAGACACUGAGUAGGAGCCGUUUCCGGAGAUUGACCGAGUAUCUACGCUUGAAUGACAAUACAACUCAAGGCCCUGUGGGAUCUACUGAGUAUGACUGUACCCUGUGUGUGUUACAGUGU